GUCAACUAUGAUGAAGUUUUUGUAAGCAUUGGGUUCCUCUUUGUUAAGUUAGUGCAAGUCUCUCAUACUGCUCACAUGUGGUCGGCGUGUCAGCCACUGCUUCACUUAGAUUUCUCGGCGCCCGUUGCUGUUUACACCUGCUUGUUCGUCUUCUUUUCACUCUCCAAGCUUUGUUACAGCUAUUUACCUGUCUCUCUGAGCUCUUACCAACUUGGCCACAAAUCCAAUUGCUUUAUUUCUAUAUAGAUAUUUUAAAUGUAUGAUUUUAUUCGGACCUUCUACUGAAUAUAACCAAAUAUACGGAAAAUGUGUCCAUAGGACACUGAUAAUACCCCAGCUAGCAUAUAUAACAUUAUAAAGGGUCAUUACUCAAGAACGGCCACCCAAAUUUGCAUUUGAACUGUGUUUUAUGGAAAUAAACAUUGUGUAUACGGCGUUUCAUAAAAUUUAGUUGAGGCAAAAAACAAUUAGAGAACGGGAACUAAUAUUGUUGGGACGUACGCACAUACGUACAUACGGACAAGGGUAACACGUAAUGCUCACUCCGAAGCGUCGAGGAAUAUAAGUUUCGUACGUUUUUAUACUAAAAUUGUGCAUACUCGACCAAUUCUCGAUUAUCCCUACGACCCAUAUACGAUCAGGUCGAUCUGGUAUGGUCGAGAUCAG
This 666-nucleotide long non-coding RNA is filed under the name Mytilus galloprovincialis (Mediterranean mussel). Lineage: Eukaryota; Metazoa; Mollusca; Bivalvia; Mytilida; Mytilidae. The record is from RNAcentral.